UUAAUUUGAUCUAACCCAUAGGUAUAAAAACAUAUUUUACAAAAUACAAAAGCUGUUCUAGGAUAAUAAGGACGAUUUAAGUGACUGCUAAAGAUAAUUUAAUGUAUAUUUGUAAGCAACGAUUAACCAUUGCUAUUGAAAAAACAAUUCUGAGCAGAAUUUGGUUGAUAGUGUUACUUUGUCAACAAUUUACAUGUUAUAUUAUG
This is a non-coding RNA of Cinara cedri, 206 nucleotides long. Lineage: Eukaryota; Metazoa; Arthropoda; Insecta; Hemiptera; Aphididae. The record is from the annotation of a GenBank genome assembly.